UCAUGUUCUCAAAUCAUAUAUCAUAAUGAAGUACAAUGUUUGAAGGCUGAGGUUCAAGGAUUGAAGGAAGCUUUAACUACUGUGAUUUCAUUAUUUCAUAAACAAUUUCCUAAUGAGAAUGUGGAGGUCCUAAACGCUGUUACUCGCAUAGUCAAUGGAGAGGUUCCUGAUGCUUCUAGUGCUCAACAAACCCCGCGUGGGAAUAAUCAUUCUCAUGAAUCAAGUCAUCAAGCAAAUCCAAAUGGAUCGAGUGAUGCCGUUUAGAAGAUGACAUCGGUCCUACUUGGGAAAAUUCUUAUCGCUUUAUUU
Molecule: long non-coding RNA, 309 nt
Organism: Dioscorea cayenensis subsp. rotundata (Guinea yam)
Lineage: Eukaryota; Viridiplantae; Streptophyta; Magnoliopsida; Dioscoreales; Dioscoreaceae
Exons: 3
Source: RefSeq, a predicted model, not a curated record